UGGUUCUAUUAUCGUGUGGUGCUGUGAGUCACUGUCUAUUCAUAUAACUUACCCAGGGCUUGUAACAGGACAACUGGCAAAUAAGGAUUCAGAGAUGGAAGGAACCUGGAUCAUCCUUAAAUAAGAUGAGCCACUCCAUAAAUAAAUAACAGGGCACUGACUGGGUUGGUUGGGGACUAGGGGAGAUGAGGGGAUAGUAUGGACUCAGGAAGCUGGGAAAGCGCAAAGUCUGAGAAGAGGGAAUGGGAAGAGUGGGGCGAGCUGAAGACCAGCACUGUCUGAGAAUGCGUGAGAAAUAACUGAAUCAUAGUGCAUCACCCAAUUUAGUGGUUCUCUCCCAGGGUUGCCCACCCAGACUGAAUUAUGGAAGGCCAAGCCAUGGCAGAGGCAGCAGCCAAUGGGAGCACAAUUAUUCAAUUCUUGGUCAAGCUUGAAAUAAGCACAUACAGAUUUUAUUUCCAUCUUAAGUGAGAGAAGUUCUGUCCUUGUUCCUGGUGCAUGUUAAACAAGGAAAAGCUUAGUCACGCAUGUAGGAAGCUGAAAACUGCGGCAAAAAUGUCCUUGCUUUUCGUGCAAGAGUAUCUUUGGAAGGCAAGAUACUCUUCUUCACAGAACCCAGAACUUGAGGAGGAGCAGAUGAGUAAACCUUAUCUCCAGUGUACAAUCUGACUGUGCCUCACCAAAUUCUUCCUCUUCUCUCACAGUCGAGUUCUCAGGAAGAGCAGAAGAUGGAGAAAGGGGAUCCCUCACUCUAUCAUACAUGUGUGUCAAAAGGGAGGGAAAAUACUCUUCACUUUGGUAUUGCAGAUCUUCUAGGUGGUUUAUAAUAAAUGACUUGAGGCUUGUAGAUAUCCUUCCUCUCUCCCAAGCCCAAGCAGCAAUAAAAAUAUGUCAAGA
Non-coding RNA from Chlorocebus sabaeus (green monkey), 897 nucleotides. Lineage: Eukaryota; Metazoa; Chordata; Mammalia; Primates; Cercopithecidae. The record is from RefSeq and is a predicted model, not a curated record.